GGCGAGAAGGACCUGCUUCCAUCAGAUUCACACUUGGGAGAGGGGCCCGGCCUCCAGGAGCGCCAGGCAGAAAGGGCACCCAUUAGGAAGAAGAACACAGAGGCCAUGGGAGUGAAAAGUUUGAUGCUGGAAAGCAACAGUAGCACAUUCUGCUACAGAGCGGAAUGAAAAACCCUGGGGAGCAAAUUCCUGAGCCAGAGAAUGGAGCGGAGGAACCAGCCAAGGAGGAUAAAGAGAAAACUACCUGCUGUCAUCAGGGGUUGGUUGGUUGAGCCUUUCCCUGUGCUUGCCUGGCAGACCUGCGUGCUCUGAGGCUGCCCGACCCUGAGCUCCAGAACAGACCAUCGAGUUCAGGAGACAAGCAUGUCAGCCAUGACACAAGGCAGAUGAGAGGGACCCCCAGCGUCCACACGUGGAGGCAGCGGGGGCAGCCGUGACUUCCUUCUGCAGUGUUGAUUCAGCUCCCUUUGAAGGCGGAUCCAUACAAACAGGCUGACCAUCAGGGCUGGUCCCAGGCCACCAGGCUGGGUGCAAUGCAGAAAUGGAGAUCUGCCCCGGGGAAGGCAGGUGAGUGUAGGAAGGAGGGAGGGCUGCGAGAAGCUGGGGGCAGCCUCCAUCCCCCUGUGGCCUGGGUGGGCCUGUGCCCCCCCAACCCCCCGACGCAGCUUCCCACACUGGGAGCACAGUUCCUCCCUCCUCUGCCUUCCUCUGCGUGGUGUGGCUCCUCCUUGAGGGAGAGAGCUGAGGAGGUGGCAUUCUUGCUUCCCUGACUCACCCAAAGGAAGAUUUCACAGCCCCUGGCAAGGGCUGCCAGACAGGCUCACCUGUCACCCCCUGUCCAGGGACAGACUGACCGGUAGCCUUGGCUGGGUGGGGAGUUAUGCUGGGAAGUCUUCCAGGCCCCCUGGGGGUGGGAAGAUGCUCAAUGUUCAAAGGAGAUGGAACGAGGAAAACAGUUAAGCAACGAUGGACUCCAGGGGGAAAACCGGAGAAGAAGAAACUGUAAUUCCAGUCCGUCCACAUGGCCCAGCAGUGAACGACAAUUGCAUGGUCAGAGAGAGCAAAAGCACCACGCCGACUGAAAGCAGCUCGAAUGUGGUGGGGCAGUGGGAGAUAAUGCCCUCAUCUACCAAAACAAGAUCUGCCACCUUCGCAGACCACUAAACCUCAUUCCUCCACCCACCUCCCCACCCCCAUGAAGGCCAACUGACCAGAGAGCAGGGCUCCCGAGGGUCGGGUCGGGUCGGGUCGGGUUGGGUCGGGUGGGUGCCUCUUAC
RNAcentral lists this long non-coding RNA (1277 nucleotides) under Homo sapiens (human). RNAcentral describes it as "HSALNT0404576". The record is from RNAcentral. Lineage: Eukaryota; Metazoa; Chordata; Mammalia; Primates; Hominidae.